UCCCUGGUGGCCUAGUGGCUAAGGAUUUGGCAUUGUCACUGCUGUGGUUUGGGUUCAAUCCCUGGCCUGGGAA
This is a non-coding RNA of Sus scrofa (pig), 73 nucleotides long. The record is from Rfam. Lineage: Eukaryota; Metazoa; Chordata; Mammalia; Artiodactyla; Suidae.